This 405-nucleotide ribosomal RNA is filed under the name Escherichia coli. RNAcentral describes it as "bacterial SSU rRNA". It matches the Rfam family "Bacterial small subunit ribosomal RNA", at positions 1 to 402 of the family's 1533-position model. Lineage: Bacteria; Pseudomonadati; Pseudomonadota; Gammaproteobacteria; Enterobacterales; Enterobacteriaceae. The record is from RNAcentral.
AAAUUGAAGAGUUUGAUCAUGGCUCAGAUUGAACGCUGGCGGCAGGCCUAACACAUGCAAGUCGAACGGUAACAGGAAACAGCUUGCUGUUUCGCUGACGAGUGGCGGACGGGUGAGUAAUGUCUGGGAAACUGCCUGAUGGAGGGGGAUAACUACUGGAAACGGUAGCUAAUACCGCAUAACGUCGCAAGACCAAAGAGGGGGACCCUCGGGCCUCUUGCCAUCGGAUGUGCCCAGAUGGGAUUAGCUUGUUGGUGGGGUAACGGCUCACCAAGGCGACGAUCCCUAGCUGGUCUGAGAGGAUGACCAGCCACACUGGAACUGAGACACGGUCCAGACUCCUACGGGAGGCAGCAGUGGGGAAUAUUGCACAAUGGGCGCAAGCCUGAUGCAGCCAUGCCGCGU